RNAcentral lists this long non-coding RNA (1721 nucleotides) under Vitis vinifera (wine grape). Its description in RNAcentral is "long non-coding RNA (VVIN_LNC003003)". The record is from RNAcentral. Lineage: Eukaryota; Viridiplantae; Streptophyta; Magnoliopsida; Vitales; Vitaceae.
UUCCCGUCCGGCCAUCACGAACCCACCAGUUACUGCCAUUCUCUCCAAUCCGGUUCAUAUUCUCCUUUGCUUCCUCCUUGUCCAAUUUUCGUGCCUUAUCGAAGGAAGAGCUUUUGCUGUGGUAGGUUUUUUGUGUCACUGGCCUGCAUGUUAAGGGAGAACUCAAAUGAAAUCAUCAAAUCAAACUCAAAACUGACAUCUUUUACAACAUUCUGAUACCAUGUUAAACUAUCAUUGGCUCGAAAAACUUAAAAGGUUUAUGGGUAUUAGCUCCAUUUUCACAAAAACCCGGAUUUCUCAACCAUCAUACACAUGAUCCAUGUACCAAUCAUCAUCUAGAGAAGCUCAUGAAUGAAGCAUAUAGGACCAAAUGAUUGAGAUUUAGGCUCAAAGGACUGGGAUAAUCCAAAGAAAAACACCAUUUUCAGGAAAUCAGAAAAGCUUACUUGAGGAACAUGGAGUUCACUGUCUGGGCUCCCCUAGAAAACACCCCUGCCAUCUCUCUCUCUCAAUGUGUGUGUUGGGAUUGAGUGAUCCAUUUUCUGUGUUUUGAAUGGCAUAUAUAUAGAGAGAGAGAGUUGAAGGCUUGAAAGCAGUUAUGAACUGAGACGUCAUUUUCUGUUUAGAAAUCGGAUAAAAGAGGGGGUUGAAGAGUGUGCAGUUUGAGGAUUACAAAAAGAAGAUGCUGUUAUCCAACACUCCAUACUCUUAUCUUCAAGCCUUAGCUUUUGGCCCAUUCCCAGCUGCAUAUCGUGAAUGAUGAUUUCUUCCCAUUCAUCUCUUUUGGAUUGGAUUGGAGUUGGUUUUGGAUUUGGAACUUUGGAUGGGAUUUCCAAUUUUCAGUUUUGUGAUAAUGGGACCAGCUUCAUUGCAGAGGAUCAUCUACCCUUUUGAAAUUGCAGUGAAAAAGACCUUCACAUUUUCACACGAUCUUUUUAAAGCUGUGUAUGAAUUUAUCUACAAUUUCUAUUAAAAAAAAAAACCUCAUGAGUGGCUAUUGGAAUUAAAGUUUACCCAAUUCUAAAAAUUUUAUUAAAUAUGACAUAGUUACUUGUAUAAUUUUUUUUUAUUUUUUUUUAUUUUACAAAAGCCAUUAUAUUUCUAAUUUUGUUAUUAAUUUUUUUAAUAAAAUUAGCCAAAACAGUAUAAAAAAUAAAUAAGAAAAACAUUGUCAUUUAAAAAAAAAUUAGCAAUAUUUCUAAUUACCAAUUUCCAAAAUCCAAGUGAAUCUGUACUUGAAAUUUCCUAAAAUCUUUUUCCUUUCCUAGUGCUUUGAAAUGGAAUCAAAGCCUGAGGGAUUACUGUCCAAGGGAUUGAAAGAACAAAAGGAGUCGGGAUUAAACGCAGCAAUCAAAGAAUAGUACAAAUUUUGAUUCAAGAACAAAUGGCGGAAUCCACAUUUACAAACUCAAGUGCCCUAUCAACCACAGACCCCAAAAGAAUUACUAACCCCUUUAUCAUCAUCCAUAACAUCACCCUAACUCAAAAUAUAACCAACAUCAAAAUUAAAUAAUCAAGGGAAGAGAAAAAUUUUACUGGAAGAAAGAAAAAGAUAAAAGAAAAAAAAUGCUUACUAUGAUUACAAGGAUUGGGCUGGCAAAUCCACAAUGGGUUCUGCUGCUUGCUGUCUAAUUUACAGAGACAAGGUUGAAGCAAAUUAUGCAUUAGGUGCUCCCAUGAGAUCGGACCGAUGAGAUUGAUUGUGCUGAGACUGAGGCCGU